RNAcentral lists this small nuclear RNA (164 nucleotides) under Salmo salar (Atlantic salmon). RNAcentral's name for it is "U1 spliceosomal RNA". It matches the Rfam family "U1 spliceosomal RNA". From Rfam's summary of the family: U1 is a small nuclear RNA (snRNA) component of the spliceosome (involved in pre-mRNA splicing). Its 5' end forms complementary base pairs with the 5' splice junction, thus defining the 5' donor site of an intron. Lineage: Eukaryota; Metazoa; Chordata; Actinopteri; Salmoniformes; Salmonidae. The record is from Rfam by way of RNAcentral.
AUACUUACCUGGCAAGGGAGAUACCGUGAUCAAGAAGGCGGUUCACCCAGGGCGAGGCUCAGCCAUUGCACUCCGGCUGUGCUGACCCCUGCGAAUUUCCCAAAUGUGGAAAUCUCGAUUGCAUAAUUAAUGGUAGUGGGGGACUGCGUUCGCGCUCGCCCCUG